This 822-nucleotide ribosomal RNA is filed under the name Salmonella enterica. RNAcentral's name for it is "partial 23S ribosomal RNA". It matches the Rfam family "Bacterial large subunit ribosomal RNA", at positions 1981 to 2802 of the family's 2925-position model. Lineage: Bacteria; Pseudomonadati; Pseudomonadota; Gammaproteobacteria; Enterobacterales; Enterobacteriaceae. The record is from RNAcentral.
UUCCGACCUGCACGAAUGGCGUAAUGAUGGCCAGGCUGUCUCCACCCGAGACUCAGUGAAAUUGAACUCGCUGUGAAGAUGCAGUGUACCCGCGGCAAGACGGAAAGACCCCGUGAACCUUUACUAUAGCUUGACACUGAACAUUGAGCCUUGAUGUGUAGGAUAGGUGGGAGGCUUUGAAGUGUGGACGCCAGUCUGCAUGGAGCCGACCUUGAAAUACCACCCUUUAAUGUUUGAUGUUCUAACGUGGACCCGUAAUCCGGGUUGCGGACAGUGUCUGGUGGGUAGUUUGACUGGGGCGGUCUCCUCCUAAAGAGUAACGGAGGAGCACGAAGGUUGGCUAAUCCUGGUCGGACAUCAGGAGGUUAGUGCAAUGGCAUAAGCCAGCUUGACUGCGAGCGUGACGGCGCGAGCAGGUGCGAAAGCAGGUCAUAGUGAUCCGGUGGUUCUGAAUGGAAGGGCCAUCGCUCAACGGAUAAAAGGUACUCCGGGGAUAACAGGCUGAUACCGCCCAAGAGUUCAUAUCGACGGCGGUGUUUGGCACCUCGAUGUCGGCUCAUCACAUCCUGGGGCUGAAGUAGGUCCCAAGGGUAUGGCUGUUCGCCAUUUAAAGUGGUACGCGAGCUGGGUUUAGAACGUCGUGAGACAGUUCGGUCCCUAUCUGCCGUGGGCGCUGGAGAACUGAGGGGGGCUGCUCCUAGUACGAGAGGACCGGAGUGGACGCAUCACUGGUGUUCGGGUUGUCAUGCCAAUGGCACUGCCCGGUAGCUAAAUGCGGAAGAGAUAAGUGCUGAAAGCAUCUAAGCACGAAACUUGCCCCGA